CUGUGAAUGUUCUUGUUGUUCUGAAUUUGUAAUAAUUAGGGCAAGCUAAACAUUCAUUAUAAUAAGACCAUGGAUGUGUCCCUAGACCUAGUUUUUUUU
This 99-nucleotide small nucleolar RNA is filed under the name Sorex araneus (European shrew). RNAcentral's name for it is "Small nucleolar RNA SNORA72 (ENSSARG00000019639.1)". It matches the Rfam family "Small nucleolar RNA SNORA72", at positions 1 to 99 of the family's 132-position model. Rfam says of the family: U72 is a member of the H/ACA class of snoRNAs. The snoRNA gene is located in intron 4 of the ribosomal L30 protein gene in human, mouse and chicken. The record is from RNAcentral. Lineage: Eukaryota; Metazoa; Chordata; Mammalia; Eulipotyphla; Soricidae.